GCGAAAGGCUCGAGAGAGGCCGCAGGCUAGGAUUGGACCGCCGGGCGCCGCCGGAUGGUGUUGCCAGGGUAACCGGAUGGCACGCGAAGCCGUUCGAGGUUCCGACCCGGUUACGGGGGCGCCCAGUGGACCCGGAGAGCUACUUUGGGGAGGGGGCGGCCCCGAAGAAGGACUGGGUGGGGGCGCAUGGAGCGGGGGCUGCGCGAAAAGUUUCCUGGGGCGGAGCUGAGCCACGCGGGCCGCGCAGGAGCGUCUGUCCGAGGGUCGCCUACGAGGGACUCCUCUGCUCGGCUGCGCGGGCUUCUGCGUUGAUGAAGUCACCGCGUUCCGGGUCGGAGCUUCGGCGCUUCUGCCCCGAACCCAGCGAAGCCCGGUCCUAUGCCCCCAAUUACCCAACGGUCCCUCAUCGCCCAGCGCAGCUGCUGCCUGGCCAGGCCCUUGCUCCGGAGGAGUCACUGGAAAGUUCCAGGGAAUCUGGGCCUCCCGGACUCUCCACCGGCGUUUCACUGCUCCCUUCCCAUGCCAGGACUCCUCUGUGCCUACCUGGUUAGUCUGUAUUUGCAAAAAACAAACAAAAACAACAACAAAAAACAAAUGGGGGGCACUUAAAGGAGGACAGACGCUGGGCGGGGACCUUUCACUGAGAGAAGUGACAUGGGGCGGAAUCCUCUGCAGACCCGCUGACGCCUUGAGAAACCACGGCAAAACCCUGCUUUUAAUCCUCCACAGGCUGAGGGCAGUGCAGAAUCCGGGCCUUGGAAAGGACACUGGUGCCACCCUUCACUGGGGAAAGGUGCAAGGGGCGGGGGAUAUACCAUGCCGAGCCUUCGCUCUGUGCUCUGUGCAGGUGCUUGACCCAGGCCAGCUCUG
Molecule: long non-coding RNA, 870 nt
Filed under: Homo sapiens (human)
Lineage: Eukaryota; Metazoa; Chordata; Mammalia; Primates; Hominidae
Description: HSALNT0000914
Source: RNAcentral